CUCUUAUUCAGAGAGGUGGAGGGACUGGCCCUAUGAAGCCCGGCAACCGUCAAACAACUGUUUGAAAAGGUGCCAAUUCCUGCAAAGCGUAUGCUUUGAGAAAUGAGAG
The sequence is a non-coding RNA, 109 nucleotides long. It matches the Rfam family "SAM riboswitch aptamer (S box leader)". From Rfam's summary of the family: The SAM riboswitch is found upstream of a number of genes which code for proteins involved in methionine or cysteine biosynthesis in Gram-positive bacteria. The SAM riboswitch acts at the level of transcription termination control. The predicted structure consists of a complex stem-loop region followed by a single stem loop terminator region.